CCUACGGGUGGCUGCAGUGGGGAAUAUUGGACAAUGGGGGGAACCCUGAUCCAGCCAUGCCGCGUGUGUGAAGAAGGCCCUCGGGUUGUAAAGCACUUUCAGUGAGGAAGAACGCCUGGUGGUUAAUACCCAUCAGGAAAGACAUCACUCACAGAAGAAGCACCGGCUAACUCCGUGCCAGCAGCCGCGGUAAUACGGAGGGUGCGAGCGUUAAUCGGAAUUACUGGGCGUAAAGCGCGCGUAGGUGGCUUGAUAAGCCGGUUGUGAAAGCCCGGGGCUCAACCUGGGAACGGCAUCCGGAACUGUCAAGCUAGAGUGCAGGAGAGGAAGGUAGAAUUCCCGGUGUAGCGGUGAAAUGCGUAGAGAUCGGGAGGAAUACCAGUGGCGAAGGCGGCCUUCUGGACUGACACUGACACUGAGGUGCGAAAGCGUGGGUAGCAAACAGGAUUAGAUACCCUUGUAGUC
RNAcentral lists this ribosomal RNA (465 nucleotides) under Vreelandella stevensii. RNAcentral's name for it is "partial 16S ribosomal RNA". It matches the Rfam family "Bacterial small subunit ribosomal RNA", at positions 338 to 795 of the family's 1533-position model. Lineage: Bacteria; Pseudomonadati; Pseudomonadota; Gammaproteobacteria; Oceanospirillales; Halomonadaceae. The record is from RNAcentral.